This is a transfer RNA of Camelus ferus (Wild Bactrian camel), 73 nucleotides long. It matches the Rfam family "tRNA". From Rfam's summary of the family: Transfer RNA (tRNA) molecules are approximately 80 nucleotides in length. Their secondary structure includes four short double-helical elements and three loops (D, anti-codon, and T loops). Further hydrogen bonds mediate the characteristic L-shaped molecular structure. tRNAs have two regions of fundamental functional importance: the anti-codon, which is responsible for specific mRNA codon recognition, and the 3' end, to which the tRNAs corresponding amino acid is attached (by aminoacyl-tRNA synthetases). tRNAs cope with the degeneracy of the genetic code in two manners: having more than one tRNA (with a specific anti-codon) for a particular amino acid; and 'wobble' base-pairing, i.e. permitting non-standard base-pairing at the 3rd anti-codon position. NCBI's taxonomy places the organism in Eukaryota, Metazoa, Chordata, Mammalia, Artiodactyla, Camelidae. The record is from Rfam.
GAGGGUGUAGCUCAAUUGGUAGAGCACAUGCUUAGCAUGCACAAGUUCCGGCGUUCAAUUCCCAGUACCUCCA